RNAcentral lists this ribosomal RNA (566 nucleotides) under Scirtothrips aurantii. RNAcentral's name for it is "eukaryotic LSU rRNA". Lineage: Eukaryota; Metazoa; Arthropoda; Insecta; Thysanoptera; Thripidae. The record is from RNAcentral.
CAUGAACAUCGACAUUUCGAACGCACAUUGCGGCCCUAGGACUUGUUCCUGGGCCACACCUGACUGAGGGUCGGUUGACCAAACUCAACGACCAGACUGUCCCCUCAAGCUUGUCUUGGGGGACGAGGUUGGAGGUUUCCGCGCUUGCGUGGUCCUCUUAAAUAACGUGAGUGUGGGCUCGGCGUUCGCGUCGUCCCACCGAUUCGCUGCACGGAAAACUCAUGUAUAUAUCGAGUGGAAUGGAGAUGUGGUCGACCACCGCUAAGAGAAGCGGCUCUCCCAUCUGAGUCUCACACAAACGAGUAUACAGAAGGAUCUGACGGUCAUGCCGUUAGCGUGCGUCCGAUUUCGAGUUUUACUUGAACGGCAUUCCGACGGGUARACCCGAACACAGUGGCUCCUUCGGGGCAAAGAUACCUUCUGAAACUUGGAGAUUCGGUCGCGAGAUGCCUCAGGUGGCAAAGCCGACGCAUCUUUUCAUCCGCUCGAUAUUUUUUUCCGUCAAUAGCGUACGGCGUUUCGUCUUCCGGGCGAUUCGCACUUCACGACCUCAGUUCAGGUGAGAC